UGGGGAAUAUUGGACAAUGGGCGAAAGCCUGAUCCAGCCAUGCCGCGUGUGUGAAGAAGGUCUUCGGAUUGUAAAGCACUUUAAGUUGAGAGGAAGGGCAGUAAGCGAAUACCUUGCUGUUUUGACGUUACCGACAGAAUAAGCACCGGCUAACUCUGUGCCAGCAGCCGCGGUAAUACAGAGGGUGCAAGCGUUAAUCGGAAUUACUGGGCGUAAAGCGCGCGUAGGUGGUUCGUUAAGUUGAAUGUGAAAGCCCCGGGCUCAACCUGGGAACUGCAUCCAAAACUGGCGAGCUAGAGUAGAGCAGAGGAUGGUGGAAUUUCCUGUGUAGCGGUGAAAUGCGUAGAUAUAGGAAGGAACACCAGUGGCGAAGGCGACCACCUGGGCUCAUACUGACACUGAGGUGCGAAAGCGUGGGGAGCAAACAGG
RNAcentral lists this ribosomal RNA (429 nucleotides) under Pseudomonadota bacterium. RNAcentral's name for it is "Proteobacteria bacterium partial 16S ribosomal RNA". It matches the Rfam family "Bacterial small subunit ribosomal RNA", at positions 355 to 776 of the family's 1533-position model. The record is from RNAcentral. Lineage: Bacteria; Pseudomonadati; Pseudomonadota.